UACGUAGGGCGCAAGCGUUGUCCGGAAUUAUUGGGCGUAAAGAGCUCGUAGGUGGUUUGUCGCGUCUGCCGUGAAAGCCCGGGGCUUAACUCCGGGUCUGCGGUGGAUACGGGCAGACUAGAGGCAGGUAGGGGAGAACGGAAUUCCCGGUGUAGCGGUGAAAUGCGCAGAUAUCAGGAGGAACACCAAUAGCGAAGGCAGCUCGCUGGGACGUUACUGACACUGAGGCGCGAAAGCGUGGGGAGCGAACAGG
This 253-nucleotide ribosomal RNA is filed under the name uncultured bacterium. RNAcentral describes it as "partial 16S ribosomal RNA". It matches the Rfam family "Bacterial small subunit ribosomal RNA", at positions 524 to 776 of the family's 1533-position model. The record is from RNAcentral.